Molecule: ribosomal RNA, 406 nt
Filed under: uncultured bacterium
Lineage: Bacteria
Description: partial 16S ribosomal RNA
Rfam family: Bacterial small subunit ribosomal RNA
Source: RNAcentral
AUUGAACGCUGGCGGCAGGCUUAACACAUGCAAGUCGAGCGAGCGGCGGACGGGUGAGUAAUGUCUGGGAAACUGCCUGAUGGAGGGGGAUAACUACUGGAAACGGUAGUUAAUACCGCAUACCAUCAGAUGCGCCCAGAUGGGAUUAGCUAGUAGGUGGGGUAAUGGCUCACCUAGGCGACGCUCACUAGCUGGUCUGCGAGGAUGAACAGCCACACUGGAACUGAGACACGGCCCAGACUCCUACGGGAGGCAGCAGUGGGGAAUAUUGCGCAAUGGGCGCAAGCCUGAUGCAGCCAGGCCGCGUGAGUGAAGAAGGCCUUCGGGUUGUAAAGCACUGUCAGCAGGGAGGCGUUACCCGAAGAAGAAGCACCGGCUAACUCCGUGCCAGCAGCCGCGGUAAUAC